GAUGAACGCUGGCGGUAUGCUUAACACAUGCAAGUCGAACGGUGUCUUCGGACACAGUGGCGGACGGGUGAGUAACGCGUGAGAAUCUGCCUUCAGGUCUGGGACAACCACUGGAAACGGUGGCUAAUACCGGAUGUGCCGAGAGGUGAAAGGUUAACUGCCUGAAGAUGAGCUCGCGUCUGAUUAGCUAGUUGGAAGUGUAAUGGACUCCCAAGGCGACGAUCAGUAGCUGGUCUGAGAGGACGAUCAGCCACACUGGGACUGAGACACGGCCCAGACUCCUACGGGAGGCAGCAGUGGGGAAUUUUCCGCAAUGGGCGAAAGCCUGACGGAGCAAUACCGCGUGAGGGAGGAAGGCUCUUGGGUCGUAAACCUCUUUUCUCAGGGAAGAAAAAAAUGACGGUACCUGAGGAAUAAGCAUCGGCUAACUCCGUGCCAGCAGCCGCGGUAAUACGGAGGAUGCAAGCGUUAUCCGGAAUGAUUGGGCGUAAAGCGUCCGCAGGUGGCAAUGUAAGUCUGCUGUUAAAGAGUGAGGCUCAACCUCAUAAGAGCAGUGGAAACUACAUAGCUAGAGUACGUUCGGGGCAGAGGGAAUUCCUGGUGUAGCGGUGAAAUGCGUAGAGAUCAGGAAGAACACCGGUGGCGAAGGCGCUCUGCUAGGCCGUAACUGACACUGAGGGACGAAAGCUAGGGGAGCGAAUGGGAUUAGAUACCCCAGUAGUCCUAGCCGUAAACGAUGGAUACUAGGCGUGGCUUGUAUCGACCCGAGCCGUGCCGUAGCUAACGCGUUAAGUAUCCCGCCUGGGGAGUACGCCGGCAACGGUGAAACUCAAAGGAAUUGACGGGGGCCCGCACAAGCGGUGGAGUAUGUGGUUUAAUUCGAUGCAACGCGAAGAACCUUACCAAGGCUUGACAUGUCGCGAAUCUCGGUGAAAGCUGAGAGUGCCUUCGGGAGCGCGAACACAGGUGGUGCAUGGCUGUCGUCAGCUCGUGUCGUGAGAUGUUGGGUUAAGUCCCGCAACGAGCGCAACCCUCGUUUUUAGUUGCCAGCAUUAAGUUGGGCACUCUAGAGAGACUGCCGGUGACAAACCGGAGGAAGGUGGGGAUGACGUCAAGUCAGCAUGCCCCUUACGCCUUGGGCUACACACGUACUACAAUGCUCCGGACAGAGGGCAGCAAGCAUGCGAAUGCAAGCAAAUCCCGUAAACCGGAGCUCAGUUCAGAUCGCAGGCUGCAACUCGCCUGCGUGAAGGAGGAAUCGCUAGUAAUUGCAGGUCAGCAUACUGCAGUGAAUUCGUUCCCGGGCCUUGUACACACCGCCCGUCACACCAUGGAAGCUGGUAGUGCCCGAAGUCAUUACUCCAACCUUUCGGGGGGGAGGAUGCCUAAGGCAGGACUGGUGACUGGGGUGAAGUCGUAACAAGGUAGCCGUACCGGAAGGUGUGGCUGGAUCACCUCCUUU
This 1462-nucleotide ribosomal RNA is filed under the name Nostoc sp. Lukesova 40/93. RNAcentral describes it as "bacterial SSU rRNA". It matches the Rfam family "Bacterial small subunit ribosomal RNA". The record is from RNAcentral. Lineage: Bacteria; Bacillati; Cyanobacteriota; Cyanophyceae; Nostocales; Nostocaceae.